This 119-nucleotide ribosomal RNA is filed under the name Pteropus alecto (black flying fox). RNAcentral also lists the same sequence under 1 other name. The record is from RNAcentral. Lineage: Eukaryota; Metazoa; Chordata; Mammalia; Chiroptera; Pteropodidae.
GUCUGCGGCCAUGCUACCCUGAACAAGCCCAAUCUUGUCUGAUCUCAGAAGCUAAGCAGGGUCGGGCCUGGUUAGUACUUGGAUGGGAGACCACCUAGGAAGACCAGGUGCUAUAGGCA